This 404-nucleotide long non-coding RNA is filed under the name Linum usitatissimum (flax). RNAcentral's name for it is "long non-coding RNA (LUSI_LNC008129)". The record is from RNAcentral. Lineage: Eukaryota; Viridiplantae; Streptophyta; Magnoliopsida; Malpighiales; Linaceae.
UGAAGCAAAUCAAACAACGGCAGAAACUCAACCACUACCUCCAAAUAAUGCUGCUGCUAAUUCUACUGCUUCUAGCUCCGGAGUUGAUAUCGACAAGCCUGCCAAGUCUAUCAGAAGCUCCGUAAGAUCUAGGUUGAAAUCUCUAAUCUCUGAUGAACUCUACAGAAAGAAAGGCAGUAACCAUCGUCGCACUAACACAUGUCCAGUUCCUCAACAACAACAACAACAACAACAUAAUCCUCGUGAUGAACAAGAAACACAACAAUUAACCUUUGACAGGGUAACCUUACCACCCCCUUCUGUACCUCAUGUUGAUGACAGUGCGAGCGAAAACCAUGAUGCCUCCUCAAGUUCACAUGAACAUGAUCAAGAGAACGACUUUAGUAGUAGAAAGGAGCUCUCUG